GUACUGAAAAGAAGAAAUCUUCAGCAAAAAUAGGGAGCAGCUGAGUGUGAGAGGACAGGUGCAAACGCUCCUGACAAGGCUAUUGAAUAAAAGGGGGAUGGGGGAAAGCAGAGCUUUGCUGCUUAACGAAGGAUGCUCUUUGCAGAAGACUGCAUGUGAACUACAUUGCAAUGAAUGUGGGUGUGAAAGAGUAUUAGAGUGGGAGAGACACAGGCAAAGAGAGUUCUGCAUCAAUAUAUAUUGGAAUCUAUGGGGAGAAGAGGGAAUUUGCUAAUUCUGGAAUGAGGAGCCUAACUGGGCCUUAAACCUUACAGAGUGCAAAGGAAACUUCCAGGUGGAAAAAACGUUAAAAUGUCCAGGAAACCCAGACACUGCUGGUACUGUACAGGGCAUGCCAGGUCUGAGCAAGUCUGGCCUCUUCACAUGGCACAGCAGCUAUACCUGCCUCUUUGGACCUGCAACAGGUUUGAUCCUGUUCUCACCUUUCAAUAUUUGGGAGGUGCUACCUGUCUGUCUGCACCCCUGAGACCCCCAUGCUGCCCCAGCCACGCUUGUAAGAGCUAUCCGUCUCUCAGAUUCUGUAACUGUCAAACACAAUUGAAUUGCUCAGAGUAAUUGCUCCUGCCCUUAUCUUAACGUGUGCUUUGAUCUUGAAAGUGUCCAUUCUGGCUGCAUCCCACAGAGCUAUCUGGUAAGAUCUCGGGUGGGCUAAAUACAUGAUGGAAGCAUAGACCUGGAAAUAAAUGUAGUUCUAACCUUAUUUUUCUCUUGAUGAGAAUUGUUGAGUCUUCCUUUAUGUCCCUAAGGAUGCAAUCUCUUUUUAUCCAAGUGAAAUUCUCCUCUCCAAGGAUUUUCAUGCUGCAACCUUUCCUCUUUUAUCCGGGAAGAGACAGAAGAUAUUCCCACGCCUUCUGUGUCAACAGCUACCUGUAUUAUUUUAGGGACUCCUCUCUCUGGGAUGAACAGGAUUAUGUUUGAUAAAUCAAGGCUUGGUUAUCAAACAAAAUCCUCAUUUCUAACCACAUGAUGCUGAGACUGACAAGCUGUAACCAAAAUGGCACACAAAUAAUGCCAGAGCAGCCGAGCUGCUGUAGUCUCUGAUGGUGGAGAGUGAAAGGUCAGGCCACUGCAGAGGCUCAGCCACCAAAGCAAUUUUAGGCUGUGCUCUGACAUGCAUUUGGAAAGGGUGACUGUGUUUAGCCUUUUGCUGCAGUGGACUCAGCAUCUCUGAUACAAGCCACCCCAACCUGCAGCUCAGUUCUCUGCAGCAUUCCCAGCUCUUUUCUGCAACAUCAGAACAAAACAAGACGAACCCGCUACAGUCUGUAGCCACCUAAUUGAAAGUUUCUGAGCCUGGCGGUCUCUAUUAUCCUGAAUUUCUGGUGGAAACAGUAUAUUCCAAGCUUCCCCCAAUUAUAGCUACCAGCAGCACAAGCAGCAGCUCUUGCACUCGGGCUUGGUCCUCCCACACACCAGUUCCUCGCUGUUUUGUUGCCUCAGGAUGGAGUUGCCUGGCAACAGGACUGCAUCUUGGGGAGACAAAAGCCAUUAUUUCUGUCACACAGAUGUGCUAAUGUGAUUAUUGACUGAGGAUGGGCGGGAGACAAGAUACACAUGACAGGUCAGAUUUCAGAUACUUGAGAAUUCCCAGGCAAGUGGUUUUUAAGAGAGAAAGGCAGAGAACCUGAAAGAAAGGAAAUUAGGGGGUGGAGGGAUCAGGCAGGUAGAUGGUAGGUACAGCAUGGGCUAAGGCAAAUGUGCUCAUAGAUCUUACAGAAAACCAGUUUCAUUCAAGAAACAUAAUAAAAGCCCACUUUGGUGUGUUGUAGCUGAUGAACUUUUACCAAGUUCCUCCUAGAUUCCUGCAGAUGGUCUGGAUGCAGGCAGCUGCACCCAGUACUCAGUCACGUCUCAUGGAAGAACUGUCCUGGAAUAGAACCUGACACUCUGGAAAUGCUGGUGAUCAGACAACCUUGCAGAUGCUCAGCGAGUACCAGCAUCCCUGCCUAAUCAUUGCUGACAAAGAUGUUUUUCACCUGCUUUAUUCCAAUCUGAAUCAAGACCAAAUGGCGAAAAGAAACUUAUUUUCUCCUGCCACCAGUCUUUCCGUGUUCACAUGUAUGUUUGUGCUGAAUGGAGGGGCAGAGAAAGCCAUAACCAAGCAGUGACCAUUUACUAUUUCACGUUUAUUGAGGGGUUGCAGGAUUAUGCUGACAGAUUUAGAUUUCAAGGCAGCUUUCCUUUUAUAAGUUACUUUUUUAAGCAGGAGCAACAAACAAAAAACCCAAACAAACAUUGCACUCCCUCUAGGUACCUAUUAAGGUGGCUUGUGUAAUGCUUUCCUCUGGCUGUGCAAAUCUGUGGGAAGAGCCUUGGCUUCUCCUUUCAGGAGAUGCGGGAUG
Long non-coding RNA from Pezoporus occidentalis (night parrot), 2402 nucleotides. RefSeq lists it as uncharacterized. NCBI's taxonomy places the organism in Eukaryota, Metazoa, Chordata, Aves, Psittaciformes, Psittacidae. The record is from RefSeq and is a predicted model, not a curated record. The transcript is spliced from 4 exons.